RNAcentral lists this ribosomal RNA (369 nucleotides) under uncultured organism. RNAcentral describes it as "bacterial SSU rRNA". It matches the Rfam family "Bacterial small subunit ribosomal RNA", at positions 526 to 896 of the family's 1533-position model. The record is from RNAcentral.
CGGAGGGUGCAAGCGUUAUCCGGAUUUACUGGGUUUAAAGGGUGUGUAGGCGGACUUUUAAGUCAGCGGUGAAAUCUCCGGGCUCAACCCGGAAACUGCCAUUGAUACUAUUAGUCUUGAAUAUUGUUGAGGUAGGCGGAACGGGUCAUGUAGCGGUGAAAUGCAUAGAUAUGACCCGGAACACCGAUUGCGAAGGCAGCCUACUAAGCAAUUAUUGACGCUGAGGCACGAAAGCGUGGGGAUCAAACAGGAUUAGAUACCCUGGUAGUCCACGCCCUAAACGAUGAUUACUCGACGUUGGCGAUACACUGAUCAGUGUCCAAGCGAAAGCAUUAAGUAAUCCACCUGGGAAGUACGUUCGCAAGAAUG